RNAcentral lists this long non-coding RNA (2787 nucleotides) under Aquilegia coerulea. RNAcentral's name for it is "long non-coding RNA (ACOE_LNC000062)". Lineage: Eukaryota; Viridiplantae; Streptophyta; Magnoliopsida; Ranunculales; Ranunculaceae. The record is from RNAcentral.
UAUUAUAAAGGUCUUAGCUAAAUUAAAUAUAUAAAACAAUACUUAACAAUAAACACGCGACAACAUGAGCAACUUCCUUUUUCUAUAAAUCAGAAAUAUUGUUAAUUUCCUAUCAAAAUAUUACACUCCUGGUGACCAUGUACAGUGGCUCGCCAAGUGAUCAAGAAACUGCAAAACAAACAUACAAUCUGAUAAUAGAUAGAAUCUGACAAUAAAAACCAAGUCUUAUAUCUGACCCAGUCCCUACCCUGCUGCAGACUGAACUGCUGCUGCCAAAACCUGUCAUUGUGCUGAUCCUUUGUACAUUUACUUCUUUCCCAUGCUCAUGCUGGUGUACCUUGUAGAUUUUGCUGAAUUGAACAACCUACUGAGAAUCUGUGAUGUAGUCAUUACAUCUUGCCAUGAAAUCCGCAAACCCAAUGUUUGAACCUGCUUUACUAUUUGUUGAAAUAAAAAACACUUCUGUCAAACGCUUUAACCUGCUCUGUUGUUUGUUGAAAUCAAACGUUAAUUCUUGGGAACAUAGAAUACGCCACAUGUUAUCUGCUACUCCUUCCCUGUUAGUUCUUGGGAAGGACUAUCAUCUACUAAUACACUUUCAGCAAACCAAGAUCUAUGUUAGGUGGACUUCAUCACUUCUUCGUCAAGGUCCUCAUUCUCACCUGGCAUAAAAUUUCAAAAGAUUUGUGAACAUUUUCUUUUUCAGAUUUUGAACCUAAUAGCAUGUAGAUCCCAGAUCCAUACAUGUGUUUGUUUGAAUGAGUUUUAAGCAUGGACCCUUAAACAAAACUUAUAGGGAUAAGUUUAAUGUCCAAAACUUCUGAAGAAUUUUAUAAGGGGAAAACAACCCUCUAAAGUCUAAAAGAUUCUAAUUACAAAAAUCGAACCUGUUGAACAAAGCAAGCACGAACAUGAUUGACUUAUCUGAAACAAUCAAAUUAAGAAUCAAAUGACAAUCUCGAUAGGAUCUAAACAGAGUUUAGAAUACCGCAAAAGAAAAAAAAAACCCACUAAAGAUGAACUUAGCAAUUUUUUAUGUAAAGAAACAAACACCAACUUGAAACAUAUAUGACCUGUUAUUUAUCUUCCGAUAUGGCCGCGACAGAGUGCUUGACAUUGUAUGAAACCUCUCGUUGCUAUUGGCAGCAAGAAAAAUUCUCAUUCUGGAAGAUGAGGAGAUAUAACAUCGUAUUAGCAUCAGCUGACCAGAGCAUCUAAGUACGUAAAAUUUGAAUAAAAAUAACUGGUUACGAAGUACUGAACGCAACAACUUAUAUAUGAUUAGAAAUUUGAAUCCAAAAUGGUUGUAAGACAAUGUAAAUAAUUAAGUCUGCUUUGAGGAAUCUAAUAAUGUUAGUUUUUGUUUCUCUACUCAAACCUAAAAAUAUGGGUGCAAUUAUCAUGCUAACUUACAGGUAAACUAUCCUCACGACCAUCAAAUCAAUAGUAUUUUGGAUAUCCAACUCUCUCUCAUGCAUAGCCUCAUUGAUUUGAGGUCUCCAUCUCUUUUGUUUAGAUUUGUGAACUUAUAAUAAAUUAUGGACUCCAGUGUUCAUAAACAUUAUGCAUAGGUCAGAAGGAUAUCUAAAGAGUAAAUAGCUAAAAAAGAGUUCAAUGAAGACAAACAAAAAAUGGAUGCAUGCAAGUUUAAAGAUUUCUAUACCUUGACAGUGGAGUAUUGUGUUAGGUAUGUUGGAAGCUAUCAUUAAAUUGCGCUUUUGGGAAUCAGCAGUGUGUGUUUAUGGAUAUCUCUGACUUGAAGCCAAAGAUGUAAUGACUCGCAAGUCAAUUUAAAUGGGAGCACAUUAUUGUGGUAAAUUAAAUCGUUUGAUUCCAACACAAUAAAGUUUCUAGGCAACCAUGUGAAGCUGUAUGUAUAUAGAUCAGAAGUUAAAAAUGCGUUACACUACUGAUCAAAUCCAAGCACCUAAUGAGCUCAAAAAAACAACAACCAAUACUUUACAGAGAUUGGACAAUCAACAAAAAAAAAAAAAAAAGGUUUUUGAGAAGUAACUAAACCUAACCUGCAGCAAGUAGUAGGAAAGACAGCCACACCAAAAUUCAAUCUAAACACCGUGUAACUUCUUUCCAUCCCCAGCUUAUGAUCAUUCUCAAAGAUGUCUUUGUUGCAUAGUCCUAAAAAAAAACAUAUAUUCACACAAUCAUUGUCAAUUUCAGGCACAUAUAUACAAUUUUCAAAUCUAAAAAAUGACAUAUACCUUAUUAACAAUAGAACCUAGAAUCCUCAUUUCAGGUAGAGGCUGACCCCAUUCAUUGUAUAGUGAGGUAGUCAACAAUCUUGGAAUAAAAUCAAAUGGAUGUCGAUUUUCAUCUGUAAAUUGCAAAAAGCUCCCAAAAUUAAGUAUAUUUUUAUUGAAAUUAUAUAAAAUUACAUAAACCUAAACCAAUAAAUACCCUUGGUUGAGAAUGAACUAUGAGCAAUGACUGCAAUACCUGUAUGAAAAGCAAAGAUAUCCAUUAAUGAUUAAUCCAAUGCCAUAUCUCAAAAAAAAAAAAAAACAACAAACAUAUGAUUCAAUUACAAAAACAUAUGAUUGACAUUGUUAUGUUUCGUCAUACUAAUGUCAAUCUGAUGUAAGUAUCUGUCACACUAUGUUUUACUUAACAGUAAGUGCUCAUACUUCGUAGUACCUACAUCACAGUAAACCCUCAUUGAUGUAGAGAUUACAAAGAAUUAACGUUAGUUGUUCCGUUGGUUUGGUUUUGCUAGUAGUAGACAACUUAGAAUUCUGUGGGUAGACGGUAGAGGAUAGAGAAGAGGAUAAA